Molecule: ribosomal RNA, 440 nt
Filed under: uncultured bacterium
Lineage: Bacteria
Description: partial 16S ribosomal RNA
Rfam family: Bacterial small subunit ribosomal RNA
Source: RNAcentral
CCUACGGGAGGCAGCAGUAGGGAAUAUUGCUCAAUGGGGGAAACCCUGAAGCAGCAACGCCGCGUGGAGGAUGAAGGUUUUCGGAUUGUAAACUCCUUUUGUUAGAGACGAUAAUGACGGUAUCUAACGAAUAAGCACCGGCUAACUCCGUGCCAGCAGCCGCGGUAAUACGGAGGGUGCAAGCGUUACUCGGAAUCACUGGGCGGAAAGAGCGCGUAGGCGGGAUAGCAAGUCAGAUGUGAAAUCCUAUGGCUUAACCAUAGCACUGCAUUUGAAACUGUUAUUCUAGAGUAUGGGAGAGGUAGGUGGAAUUCUUGGUGUAGGGGUAAAAUCCGUAGAGAUCAAGAGGAAUACUCAUUGCGAAGGCGACCUGCUAGAACAUAACUGACGCUGAUGCGCGAAAGCGUGGGGAGCAAACAGGAUUAGAUACCCCAGUAGUC